Molecule: ribosomal RNA, 605 nt
Filed under: Bacteroides ovatus
Lineage: Bacteria; Pseudomonadati; Bacteroidota; Bacteroidia; Bacteroidales; Bacteroidaceae
Description: bacterial SSU rRNA
Rfam family: Bacterial small subunit ribosomal RNA
Source: RNAcentral
GCAUUUUUGUAGCAAUAGUAGAGAUGGCGACCGGCGCACGGGUGAGUAACACGUAUCCAACCUGCCGAUAACUCCGGGAUAGCCUUUCGAAAGAAAGAUUAAUACCGGAUAGUAUACGAAUAUCGCAUGAUAUUUUUAUUAAAGAAUUUCGGUUAUCGAUGGGGAUGCGUUCCAUUAGUUUGUUGGCGGGGUAACGGCCCACCAAGACUACGAUGGAUAGGGGUUCUGAGAGGAAGGUCCCCCACAUUGGAACUGAGACACGGUCCAAACUCCUACGGGAGGCAGCAGUGAGGAAUAUUGGUCAAUGGACGAGAGUCUGAACCAGCCAAGUAGCGUGAAGGAUGAAGGCUCUAUGGGUCGUAAACUUCUUUUAUAUGGGAAUAAAGUUUUCCACGUGUGGAAUUUUGUAUGUACCAUAUGAAUAAGGAUCGGCUAACUCCGUGCCAGCAGCCGCGGUAAUACGGAGGAUCCGAGCGUUAUCCGGAUUUAUUGGGUUUAAAGGGAGCGUAGGUGGAUUGUUAAGUCAGUUGUGAAAGUUUGCGGCUCAACCGUAAAAUUGCAGUUGAAACUGGCAGUCUUGAGUACAGUAGAGGUGGGCGGAAUUC